GCGUGAAGUUGGCAUUGUUUACCAGCCUGCACUUCUCGAAAAUGGUGCUACCAGCCUGUAAAAAUAUGGGAUUUUUUCUAAUUCGCAUUAUCUACAGGCUGAAAAAUAAUCGUUGAUAUUCUCUUGAGAGGGAUUUUUCACAUUUAUUUUCUUUAGGUUGGUGCUGAAUAAAAAACAAAGGUGUCUUUCCUCCAGUCUGGUUCGAAAUUUUUUAGGGUUCUGCCUCUUCUAUUUGGGUUCGUCUGAUUCUCUUUCUCUCGUCUCAUCUCUUCCGUCGAGCAGAGAACGACAUCCCUGCUGUUUUGCCGGCGUGAUUCAAGUUCUGAGGAGGGUCAUCGGUGGUUGGUGCCUGGGGUUUUUCAGGCGUAGCCUGGGGGACGCCCUUCGCCGGAUAGGCGAAGGAGGAGAGGUGGUGUUGGUCGAUACUGUGAGAUUAUUUGAGGGAGAUUUGAGCGAUGGAGGAGAUUGAGAGAGAGAGAGAGGGCAGCGGCGGCUGCGAUUUGGGGAUCUGGGUGGUGCCGCCAUUCAAUAGGCGGCGGCGGUCACAACGUUUGAGAGAGAAAGCUUGUUCGGGAAAAGAGAUGAGGCGAGGAGCCCUGGGCCGAAGGCGGCGGCCGUGACUUGGUCACCGAAGGUCAGAGGAGGUGGCGAUGGUGGGAGUUGAAAUUAGAUUUGUGGUUGCUGAUUUGCUGGUUUGAUGGAGUUAAGCAGCCAUAUGGUUUGAAUCUGUGGUUGCUGGUCUGCUAAUUCCCAUGUUUAUGAUGAGGGUCUGAUGGGCUUCGAGAGUUUGGUGGCUGGAGAGGCCAGGUGCGCGGUGACGGCGUGGUAGACAGAGACGAGUCGCGCGGCGGCGUGGCGUUGCCGGCGGCCGUAGCUGAUUUGUGUGGCGUUUCGCGUAAGCUUGUGCGGAGGGCGAGGGUGACCUUGGGACGCAAUCGUUGUUUGUCCAGCGACUUCAGCAGCUCCACAACCGGCGACUGCUAUCUACCUGAACAGUUGGCUCGAAGCGCGCGGUGGCGUUGUGAUGUCGCCGACUGCCAGAGUCUUCGAAGUAAUGGUAGUUGUUGCCAACGGAGAGGCGGCGUCGCAGUGGUCGCGUAGAUUAGGGAUCUGAGGUUCAGGGUGGCGUCGUCGCUCAAUAGACGGCGAUGGUGACUGAUAUCGAAUGGGAGACGAAAGAUAGGGUGAGAUAAGGCGGCGAUUUCGCCGAAGGUCGAAAUUGGAGGGGGUGGCUCCCUUUUUCUGCCAUUGCUUGAUUAGAGGAGAGGGGGCCUCCCGGCGGCGCGCGUCUAUGAAGGAGAAGAGAGGAGGAGAUGGGCCGAAAGCGGCGAUGGUGCAUCAGGCUUUUCAGGCGCGGCCCUGGGCCCUUGGGCAAACGGCGGUCGGAGGCGACGCCUUUCGCCUGGGGCGGUGGCUGGCUGGGCGGAUUUUGUCCGUUUCUUCUGAGUGAGGCGGAAGGGAAGAAUGAGGGAGAGAGAGGUCAGCAGCUCUCCAGGGUGGAGUUAGAGACGAGGCGCGCGGCGGCGGCGUGGCGUCGCCGGUGGCCGUAGCUGAUAUGUGAGAUGAGAUACACGAGCUAUCUCCAUUGUUUAAGUUUUCUGCUCAAUAACGAUCGAUUGACUCGAGCAUCUUUCAGAUUUGGGAGAGGCAAAAUAGAUUGGUGGUUUUGAGCAAUGGCUUGGAAGAACUUGAGAACGUCGUGGAGUUCGUGGACUCGAAGGAAGGAAAAUUUAGCUCCUGUCUCGUGUAAGCCUGUGCGGAGGGCGAGGGUGGUCUCACGACUUGUGCAGCGAUUUCAGCAGCCCUACAACCGGCGACUGCUGUACCUGAGCAAUUGGCUCAAGGCGCGCGGUGGUGGUGCGAUGUCGCUGGCUGCUGUUGCUGGAGGUCCAAACUGGAAGGAAUUGUAGGCUGAGAGAGAUGGAGCUCUGCAACUGGAGAGAGCCAUUGUCAUCUAUUCCUUUAUUUAUGGAUUUCAUUUUUGUCUUUUGGAGGUUUUGAGCACCUUGCAGCGACGACGAGUGUGGGAGAGUAGGGCAGAGAAGUGACGAGAUAAAAAAGGUCCAGAGGAGCUUGUGGACUGACUAUUUGUCAAAUCUUUUGUUACGGAGUAAGGGAGAUGCAGCCUUUGUAUAAUUACAUGCCAUGUGAAUUAUAAUAUCUUGCCUUUUAUUGAUUGA
Salvia miltiorrhiza (redroot sage) is the source of this 2180-nucleotide long non-coding RNA. RefSeq lists it as uncharacterized. NCBI's taxonomy places the organism in Eukaryota, Viridiplantae, Streptophyta, Magnoliopsida, Lamiales, Lamiaceae. The record is from RefSeq and is a predicted model, not a curated record. The transcript has 4 exons.